Molecule: long non-coding RNA, 958 nt
Organism: Gavialis gangeticus (Gharial)
Lineage: Eukaryota; Metazoa; Chordata; Crocodylia; Gavialidae
Exons: 2
Source: RefSeq, a predicted model, not a curated record
AUCCCUUCUGUUUUGUCUUUUCCUCCCCUGCAAGUCUGGGACAAUUUUGGCUUGACUGUGAGCAUAAUUAAGAUUACAAAUUUCCAUCGGUCCUCACAUAUGGGAUAUGGUUAUAAACUGGGUGAGAGCUGCUGUGAUAAGACACCUGCAACAGUUAUCCUUGCUGGUAAUAAUGGAUGUCAAAGUCCAAUUUCUAUGCCCAUGACCCAGUGUACUAUUCUGCCUUUUGCUUCAGAGAGGGAGGAAAAACCAUCAAAGUUUGUAAUGAUUUGUUGGUAUCGUACUCUCAGAUCCAGUAACACUGGACCUCCGUUCUUUAUUGUGCUCCAGAGCACUCCAGCUUAUUUACAAAACGGCUCCUUUCUACUAUGUGCCCUUCCUGCCUGAACUCUCAGGGAUCACACAACAGCAUGUCCAUGUGGGACAAAAUCUUGGCUUUAAUGAAGUCAAAGGCAAAACAAUCAUUGAGAGCCUGACAGGAAACUGGCUUGCAAACCUAGUGAGGAGGACUUUAAAUUGGAUUGAAUGGGGACGCAGACAAAAGGCCACAGGCAAGUAAAAAGCAAGGUGACCCAGAUAAAGGCCAAGAAAGAGACUGUAACACGGGGAGACUUAACAGUAUUUUCAGAGAGGUAGUUAGUAUCUGAUUGAAGUGUGGCUCACAAAAAAGCUCCCUAUGAAAAGUUUAUGCAUCUCUCAUUCAGUUGUCUAUAAGGUGCCAGGUACCUUCUGCCAGUAUUUUCCAAGGAAAAUUAGCAAGACAAUUGUCUAGUCAUCUACAUUAUUUAUAUAAUAAUGCAAGGAGCACAGGGAAUAAUUAGGAAUAAUUGGAAGUUCCAGUACGGUCAGAGCAGUAUGAUUUCAUUCAGAUUUCUGAGACUUGGUGGGAUAAUUCACAUGACCAGAGAUGGAUUGGCAUAAGUCGCUCAGGAAGAUCAGGCAGAGGAAUAAAAGGAAG